Macrobrachium nipponense is the source of this 912-nucleotide long non-coding RNA. RefSeq lists it as uncharacterized. The transcript is spliced from 3 exons. The record is from RefSeq and is a predicted model, not a curated record. NCBI's taxonomy places the organism in Eukaryota, Metazoa, Arthropoda, Malacostraca, Decapoda, Palaemonidae.
GCAGGUACCUUUGCUUUCAAAGUGCUUGUGGUUUUGAGUUUGGUUUGCAUGACGGGUUUUUUACUUUAGUGCGGAUGUCAUGGGACAGCUGUUUUGUUGAGCACGUGCACAAGACGUGGGUCCUACUAUACUACUUGUGAACGAAAUCGUUUAGUGUGUUUUGCUUUCGAGUUGAGUAAGAUCUGGGCAAGGGGCCGCCGCCCCUGAAGGGGUGGAGGUACUCCAAUGGAUUGCAUAGUAGGCGUUUGAAGCUUAUUAUGCAGUCCAUUGGAGAUUCUUUUUCAGGUUGAGAUUUUAGAAUAUUUAGCCAGGUCAGGUGAAAGAUAAAUGUAUAGGUGCAAGAAUAAGUGUUGUGGCUGCUUGCAUCAUGGCUUGAGUUGAGAAGCUGUAGGCUGGUGAAGGUGACGAAGUAAAGUGAGGCGGAGUUUGAUGCUUAGAGGAUAACUGGAACAAAGGUUCGGUGGUCGUGACUGUUUAAUAAUAGAAGUAUUAGAAUGUUGAAUAUGAGGAAAAUUUCCAUACAUCUGUUGGACUUGGCUGGGAGAUGGUAUCUUACGCCCUAAAGAUCUGAAAGGUUGAUAGUUUAACGCAAGGUUAAACAAAGAAAAUAACAAGACUUCAAUUACUUUUGAAAUGCUGUGUAAUAAAAUAUAGAAUUCCAUUCAGCUAUAUUUUAAUUGUCAUAAGCCAUGAAUCUUAUGCUUCGCAUAUGGAAACUUAAGGAACUUUGUUUAUUAAACUGGAAAACCGGAAAACAGUUUCUAAAACUAACUAUAUAUAGUGAUACUGGAAUUUGUUUCCUAUUCAAUUUUGAGCUUUCUAAACUUAGCACCGCCUAAAACUGUUCAUGAACUUUUAGGUUUAAUCAGUUUCAUUAAAAUGUGAAACAUUUGGAGUUCAAAUGUACUCUUA